This 334-nucleotide unclassified non-coding RNA is filed under the name Hevea brasiliensis (rubber tree). The record is from RNAcentral. Lineage: Eukaryota; Viridiplantae; Streptophyta; Magnoliopsida; Malpighiales; Euphorbiaceae.
GAAGAAAUUCAGGAAGAUGGCACUCGCGACAAGUCAAGAAUAUGCCAGCAGUGAUCAGUACAGUAAUCCAACGAGCGAAUAUGGACUAAACCCGUCUGGAUCAAGUAGCGAAGGCCAUCAAACUGCGGAAAUGGAAACGGGUCGGAUGAGAAAAGACAGCAGAGGAUUCAGUGGAAGUAAAGGCUUCAGUGGAACUUCUUAGUACACAAGAAACUCCAUUUCUGUAUAGUCUUUUCAACCUCUAACUCUUUUAUAACAUGAAUGCUUCCACAAUGAUGAUUUAUUUUGGUCAAUAUACAGAUUUUUUUUUCCCUUUUUUAAAUGAGAUAAGUUC